RNAcentral lists this long non-coding RNA (572 nucleotides) under Papio anubis (olive baboon). RNAcentral describes it as "lncRNA (ENSPANG00000044271.1)". Lineage: Eukaryota; Metazoa; Chordata; Mammalia; Primates; Cercopithecidae. The record is from RNAcentral.
CGAUUAUCUGGGAAGUUUCAGGUCUUCAGACUUUUAUUUCUAUGGUGAAACUUAUUCUAAUUUCCAGCCCAAGAUUCUGGAACACAUCUCCCAUUAUGAAGUGGGCCUCAGGGUGGGAGUGGAAGCAGAACCUCUUGUUCACACUCCACACCCUCAUUUUCCAGCAGUGAAGGUAGACUAUUAAGGCUCUCAUGUCAUCAAGGAUGGAGGCAAUGGGAUAAUGGAGAUUCUAGACAUUUGUUUCGUCACCAGCGAAAAUUAAAUGAAGACUCAGGAAUCACUACAGCUACAGGGAUGAGAAGGACAUUUCAGCAGCUACAGUGUGGUGGCCCCCUUAGCAGCUUCUUUGUUUGUCCAUCAAGAAAAUAUUUUUGGACAAAAACAAACCUGUAGUUCAUUGGAAGCAAGGCAUUGGGCCCAGUGAUAAAGAUCUGAAUAAGGAAGAUGCAGAAGACGUUAAUCAUAGGCUUAUCAAUGCCCUUAGGAGAUCUGUCCCCCUGAUUGAAGCAACUCUGACCUUUGGAAGUUCAUAUCCAAGAAGUAUGAUAUCAAUCUUAUUUUUAAAUAAAUUA